UACGAAGGGGGCUAGCGUUGCUCGGAAUCACUGGGCGUAAAGCGCACGUAGGCGGAUUGCUAAGUCAGGGGUGAAAUCCUGGAGCUCAACUCCAGAACUGCCUUUGAUACUGGCGACCUUGAGUCCGGGAGAGGUGAGUGGAACUGCGAGUGUAGAGGUGAAAUUCGUAGAUAUUCGGAAGAACACCAGUGGCGAAGGCGGCUCACUGGUCCGGUACUGACGCUGAGGUGCGAAAGCGUGGGGAGCAAACGGG
RNAcentral lists this ribosomal RNA (253 nucleotides) under uncultured bacterium. RNAcentral describes it as "partial 16S ribosomal RNA". It matches the Rfam family "Bacterial small subunit ribosomal RNA", at positions 524 to 776 of the family's 1533-position model. The record is from RNAcentral.